UGUAAACAUCCCCGACUGGAAGCUGUUCCCGUCCAGCUUUCAGUCAGAUGUUUGCU
Columba livia (rock pigeon) is the source of this 56-nucleotide non-coding RNA. The record is from Rfam. Lineage: Eukaryota; Metazoa; Chordata; Aves; Columbiformes; Columbidae.